UCCGGCCGGGAACUCAAAGGAGACUGCCAGUGAUAAACUGGAGGAAGGUGGGGAUGACGUCAAGUCAUCAUGGCCCUUACGACCAGGGCUACACACGUGCUACAAUGGCGCAUACAAAGAGAAGCGACCUCGCGAGAGCAAGCGGACCUCAUAAAGUGCGUCGUAGUCCGGAUUGGAGUCUGCAACUCGACUCCAUGAAGUCGGAAUCGCUAGUAAUCGUGGAUCAGAAUGCCACGGUGAAUACGUUCCCGGGCCUUGUACACACCGCCCGUCACACCAUGGGAGUGGGUUGCAAAAGAAGUAGGUAGCUUAACCUUCGGGAGGGCGCUUACCACUUUGUGAUUCAUGACUGGGGUGAAGUCGUAACAAGGUAACCGUAGGGGAACCUGCGGUUGGAUCAC
Molecule: ribosomal RNA, 401 nt
Filed under: Escherichia coli
Lineage: Bacteria; Pseudomonadati; Pseudomonadota; Gammaproteobacteria; Enterobacterales; Enterobacteriaceae
Also listed under: 1 other name
Description: bacterial SSU rRNA
Rfam family: Bacterial small subunit ribosomal RNA
Source: RNAcentral